This is an RNA transcript of Daucus carota subsp. sativus, 1247 nucleotides long. RefSeq lists it as uncharacterized. NCBI's taxonomy places the organism in Eukaryota, Viridiplantae, Streptophyta, Magnoliopsida, Apiales, Apiaceae. The transcript has 4 exons. The record is from RefSeq and is a predicted model, not a curated record.
AUGACUAAAAGGUUUGAAACAAACCAGGUGUUUGAGAUGUUUGCAGCAAUUGAAAGAUGAAUACUACCUUGUGAAGGGCAAGUUGCAAACAUUGCUCACGCUGGAGCAACAAAUUGUAGCUGCUGGUGGGUCAAUGCCGAUUGUGGAAUAGAUGAGCAUGAUAUAUACAAGCGAACCUGUGUUGCUGGUGCGAAUUCUUCACUCGUGGAGUCUCCAACUGAGCCUAAAUGGUCCUUUACAGAAAAAAUAUGAAAUUAACAGGUUCUGGGAUUCUAGAAAUGAUCAGCUCCUUAUUACCAGACACAGACAGUCCCAUCGAAAAUAGCAAGGUCAGGAAUGGAAAUUGUAAAUUUAAUAUUUGCUGAUUCUGCUUCAUUACUGUAAAUUUUACCGAGCUUUUAGUGUUAUCCUUGUGUAUAUGUUGGUCACUUUUCCUCUUGCAUGGGCCAUGGAGUACUCUUUUUCGGAAAUGCGUGUGAUGUCAAAAAAGCCAGAAUUUGGUAGGAUGUAAAGGCAACCUAUUCAUUUAUUUAUCUAGUGCAGCAAGAGUUUAAAAGAAACACCGCUCUUGCCAGAAAUGAUCGUUUGGAUAAUCAAAAAAUUCCUUUUGAUGUUCCUUUUUUUGAUUAAUGACAUCCCACUGCUUUGGCUUCGGAAUUGUUGUCUGUUUAAAAAGAUGAGGCUUAUCAGACCAACUCUGGGUCCUAUACUUGCGGACUUCUGAUAUGCUUUCAGAAGCUUUUGCCCAUCCAUUGUUCUUCGAGGUGCCUAGAAGAACACUAUGAGUGAUGAGCCAUGGAUGGUAGAAUUCAGGCCUAUUAUUGUUGGUGAUGUUCAAAAGAGCUGAAAGACUCUCCUCUGAUCCUCAUCGCCUGCCUCUGUUUCCUCUUUCCUAAAUGAAAGAAGCAAGAGUAGGACGGUCCAACUCUUAUGGCACGCCGCCUAAUCAUUUCAGUGUCGGGAAGACUUACAACACAAAUCAUCCAAAACCUCGAAUCACAGUUCACGAGAGCCUCUCAUAUCACAUAACUUGUAGCCCGCGAUUCUGAGAUCUACUUGUUAACCAUUGAUUCUGAUCCACUUGUGAGACUUAUGUGUAAAAACUUGGUGCAGGAUAUGUUUGUAGCUGCAACAGAGACAACAAGUACCUCAGUUGAGUGGGUAAUGUCUGAGAUUCUGGACAAAAAAAUUGAUACCAAGUUAGAAUUAAGUAUUUUUCAAAUUGACUCCUUGUCAUAUAAACAAGA